This 253-nucleotide ribosomal RNA is filed under the name uncultured bacterium. RNAcentral describes it as "partial 16S ribosomal RNA". It matches the Rfam family "Bacterial small subunit ribosomal RNA", at positions 524 to 776 of the family's 1533-position model. The record is from RNAcentral.
UACGUAGGGACCGAGCGUUGUCCGGAUUCAUUGGGCGUAAAGAGCUCGUAGGCGGCUGCUCAAGUCGAAUGUGAAAACUCGAGGCUCAACCUCGAGCCUGCAUUCGAUACUGGGCGGCUAGAGUCUGGUAGGGGGAUCUGGAAUUCCUGGUGUAGCGGUGAAAUGCGCAGAUAUCAGGAAGAACACCCGUGGCGAAGGCGGGUCUCUGGACAGUUCCUGACACUGAGGCACGAAGGCCAGGGGAGCAAACGGG